Molecule: ribosomal RNA, 544 nt
Filed under: Amanita pachycolea
Lineage: Eukaryota; Fungi; Basidiomycota; Agaricomycetes; Agaricales; Amanitaceae
Description: eukaryotic LSU rRNA
Rfam family: 5.8S ribosomal RNA (bases 202-355)
Source: RNAcentral
AAGGAUCAUUAUUGAAUGAGACUUCUGGCUGGAUGCUGUUGUGCUGGUCCUCUGGGCAAUGUGCACACACCUCUGGUCACUUGUUUCUUCUGUUCCACCUGUGCACUACCUGUAGACAUGCCGAUGGCGUGUCUAUGAUAUUUGUUACACACACGAUGUUAUGCAUGUUGGUUGGCAUAUUACAUGUUAUAAUAAAUAUACAACUUUCAACAACGGAUCUCUUGGCUCUCGCAUCGAUGAAGAACACAGCGAAAUGUGAUAAGUAAUGUGAAUUGCAGAAUCCAGUGAAUCAUCGAAUCUUUGAACGCAUCUUGCGCUCCUUGGCAUUCCGAGGAGCAUGCCUGUUUGAGUGUCAUUAAACUAUCAAAACACCUUUUCUUGAGGUGUUUUGGACUUUGGGAGUACUGUGCUGGUCUCUUUGAGCCAGCUCUCCUCAAAAGCAUUAACUUUGAGACCAUCAGUGUGAUAAUUUGUUUGCACUGGCUUCUCUUUUUUUAACUGCCCCUUUGACCUCAAAUCAGGUAGGACUACCCGCUGAACUUAA